UACCUUUGACUUUUUCUUCCACAGAAUUUCUCCCCUUCCCAGACUGAAGAACACUGUUGGAGAAAGUGAAGGCCAAAUACGAGUUGAAUCACUGCGUGGUUCCUGACACCUGCGGAAAUCACAGCCACGUGUCACCCCCAGCAUCUUCGUCUCCGCCCGGAGGCAGCAGGUGCCGGGAACGGAGCCCAGAGCCUAACCUGCCUCUCCCAGCGAGGGCCCCGCGAGCUAAGAAACGCCCUUUGGCCUGGGGCCACAGGUGCUCGCCCGGAGGAGACGCAGCCUGAUUCGCCUCCUGUGCGGGACCCAGGAUGAUGCAGGGCAGGUCAGCCCCAAACUACGGCUUAGCCUCGGAGGGCCCACGGCUCUUCUCGGCAGGGUUUCUUCCCCGCUGCUGCUGGGCCGCGGCUUCGAGGCCCACUGAGGCGCGGGAGCGACCACGGCAACCCCUCAGGCAAGUGCGCCCAGGGGAGCAGCUGGGGGCGGGGCGGGGCUGCGCUCCUGUUUAUACGCAGUUACUGAUAUGCAAAUUAAGCGAAGAUUAUGCAGCUAUUUCUAGAAUAAGGGUGGUAACUUUCAGGUCGUCAGGUUGUUGCCAUGGAAAGGGGCGGUGACUUCCGGGCGUUGCCAUGGCAACGGCAAACUGACAGGUUCCCGAGGGGGUGGGCCUUAUGGAAAACUGCUUCCCCCGCCCCAUCCCGCCUCCACCUCGAUAGCGGUCAAAGAUGGGCGCCCCCGCAAGUGCCAAAGAUGCGAAACCCGUAAUUUUAGAAACCAUAUUCUGUGGAAACUUCAGAAGCAUCCCGCAUUUCCCACUGAAACUCGCCCUGUUGAAAGAAGCCUCACCCGCCGUCCGGCUACCGCGCAGUCCUGGCCGGUCUCCUCCUCUGGCCGCGACCAAGGCCGCGUGGCCGUCGCUGCAGUUACGGGCGUUUCCAACACGCUUUAAAACGCACGCACACGAGCACCGCACCGCAGGGCUCCACGCCUCCUACCGGGCCUCGCAGAUGACAUGAAACCACCAAGUUUAUCGAGUUGAUCAAUGGUUACUUCUACUUGGAAACUGAUACCAACGUAGAAACAAGCAUUCUGUAGGAGGGUAGUUUUGCGAUUGAAAUUACCAAGCUGACUGGGCGCAGGGCUCACGCGUGGAGUUCCAGCACUUUGAAGCCCGAGGCGAGAGGAUGGCUUGAGCCGGGAAGGUGGAGGCUGCAGUGAGCGGAGGCAACACAGCUGCACUCCCGCCUGGGAGACACAGCAAGACCCUGUCUCAAAAACAUGUUUAAUGCAAUUAUCAAAUAACCAAUGUUAUGCUUUGCAGAGUCCUUAAAAACUGUUGAAAAUUAUAUUCAUAAAUGCACAAACUUAGUUAUUCCUAUUUAUGACAAAUCAAAGCUUUAGAUGGGAGUCUUGAAGACUUUCUAACUAGAAUUGAUGGGUUUGGGGGAUGUUAGAUAAGGUGCGUUUGGUUUUUAUCUCUAAUACCGCUGUACUUUAAACACUAAAAUGUAGCAAUGAGGUUGCCAAGAUCGUUGGAUUUUUAACUGGGCUAUUCAAAUAUCCAGAUGCCAGCUGAAUUCACAGCAGAAAAAAAAAAAAGCUAUUUGAUCUAUUUACUGAAUUUUCAUUUUAGGGUUAUGAUUUUUUCCAUUAGUGCCUGGCAAGUAAACAAAUACUAGAAUUUAAAUCUCUAGGGCAGUUCAUGCUUUUUUGGUCCUUAGCAACUCACAUGGGGGCUGUAGUGAAAAUGGACAAAAUCAACGGAAAGGGCUUGGAAGCCAUCUAAACAGACUCAAGCCAGCCACACCCACAGGAGCCCACAGUGACGACAGAUGAAUCCACCUGAACUCUUACAGUCCAACAUCAGUGACUGAUUUCAACACAUUUUAGAAACCUAUACAUAUGACAGUAGUAAUGAAGAUUACAUGUUACCCAAAACGAUGUAGUCAGAGUCACCUGCUUUAACCUCACCCUUUAUUCUUAGGUUUUAGAUUUGUGGUACUCCUAAUCUCACAAAUGAAAGGGUACCGUGCACCUAGGCUAAGGCCGCUGAAACCAAGUAGACACAUCGGGGCCAAUUUGGGGUAUGUAACGUAUUUAGAAAGAUUCAAAUGAUACAGGUAAAAUCACAAGGGACAUAACUAGCUCAGCAAUUACUUCACUGUGUUCAACAGCUGAAGCACCUCAUCGUGUUAUUGGGCCCCAAGUUGUCGUUUAUAUUUUCAUUAGCAUCUUUCUACUACUGGAAAUGUUAUCUAAAAUCAACACAAACUUUAAUAGGAGAUAAAUAUAUGUGAUAAUAUAACCAGGGAAAUUUGGUCCAAGAUGUUUCACGGCUUUAGGAAGAAAGGUCUGCCCUAUGGUAAAAUAUUUAUACUAUUGCUGGUAAAUGACAGAGUAUGUGUGCUCUAUAAUCUUAAAUCAUAUGCACAAAUGCUUUAACAGUGAGAAAACACUGUUAGAAGCAUAUCACAUUGCCAAAUGUUGGUGGAAGCUUAAAUUUUAAGUUAAUGGAUGGUAGAUUUUAAAUAAAAACAAUCAUUCUGGCAUG
Molecule: long non-coding RNA, 2548 nt
Organism: Callithrix jacchus (white-tufted-ear marmoset)
Lineage: Eukaryota; Metazoa; Chordata; Mammalia; Primates; Cebidae
Source: RefSeq, a predicted model, not a curated record